GGGGACGUAAAGGUUUCGACGGGGGUAUUGCAGUACGAACAGCGAGUCGAGGUGCACACAUCGUUAAAGUGGCAGUUUAAUAUAAACGCAGAAGAUAACUUCGAAAUGGCUCUUGCUGCUUAAUUGCAGUAAGACCACAAAACUUCAGCUUAUAUAGCUGAGCGUCGCUUCCUUUUACCUGUGAUUGGAAGAUCGACGUCAAAUUUAACAGGUAACACUGUUAUGGGGGCUUCGACAUAAUAGUGACUCAGAAGCUGGCCGAUUCAAAGGGUGUCAUUGCUCGUUGAAUUUGGUAAGAAUAAAUCAGUGACUGUGCUCGGAGAAAUUCGUAUGAAUGUACUUUCGGACAGGGGUUCGAUUCCCCUCGUCUCCACCA
Molecule: transfer-messenger RNA, 376 nt
Filed under: Eubacteriaceae
Lineage: Bacteria; Bacillati; Bacillota; Clostridia; Eubacteriales
Also listed under: 1 other name
Description: JAAYJS01 sp012522805 Standard tmRNA
Rfam family: transfer-messenger RNA
About the family: Bacterial tmRNA, also known as 10Sa RNA or SsrA, is named for its dual tRNA and mRNA-like properties.
Source: RNAcentral